GAUGAACGCUGGCGGCGUGCCUAAUACAUGCAAGUCGAGCGAACAGAUAAGGAGCUUGCUCCUUUGACGUUAGCGGCGGACGGGUGAGUAACACGUGGGUAGCCUACCUAUAAGACUGGGAUAACUUCGGGAAACCGGAGCUAAUACCGGAUAACAUUUGGAACCGCAUGGUUCUAAAGUGAAAGAUGGUUUUGCUAUCACUUAUAGAUGGACCCGCGCCGUAUUAGCUAGUUGGUAAGGUAACGGCUUACCAAGGCAACGAUACGUAGCCGACCUGAGAGGGUGAUCGGCCACACUGGAACUGAGACACGGUCCAGACUCCUACGGGAGGCAGCAGUAGGGAAUCUUCCGCAAUGGGCGAAAGCCUGACGGAGCAACGCCGCGUGAGUGAUGAAGGGUUUCGGCUCGUAAAACUCUGUUAUUAGGGAAGAACAAACGUGUAAGUAACUGUGCACGUCUUGACGGUACCUAAUCAGAAAGCCACGGCUAACUACGUG
Molecule: ribosomal RNA, 497 nt
Filed under: uncultured bacterium
Lineage: Bacteria
Description: partial 16S ribosomal RNA
Rfam family: Bacterial small subunit ribosomal RNA
Source: RNAcentral